GAGAUCAUCCAAGGUGAAGGUCACGGAAGCGCCGUCGACUGGUGGACCUUCGGGAUCUUCCUCUACGAGCUUCUUCACGGAACUACUCCAUUCAAAGGAUCUGGAAACAGAGCUACUCUGUUCAAUGUCGUGGAGCAACCGCUUAGAUUCCCUGAGGCGCCGCAAGUUAGUCUAGCUGCUCGGGAUCUGAUCAGAGGACUUCUUAUUAAGGAGCCGCAAAAGAGAAUCGCGUACCGGAGAGGUGCAACGGAGAUUAAACAGCAUCCGUUCUUCGAUGGAGUGAAUUGGGCGUUGGUUAGAAGUGCUAUGCCGCCGCAUGUCCCGGAACCGGUGGAUUUCACGCAGUUUGCUAGAAAGAGGAGCGGGACCGGAGCGGUAGAAGA
This 383-nucleotide long non-coding RNA is filed under the name Cucumis sativus (cucumber). RNAcentral describes it as "long non-coding RNA (CSAT_LNC001673)". The record is from RNAcentral. Lineage: Eukaryota; Viridiplantae; Streptophyta; Magnoliopsida; Cucurbitales; Cucurbitaceae.